Long non-coding RNA from Zeugodacus cucurbitae (melon fly), 629 nucleotides. RefSeq lists it as uncharacterized. The transcript has 2 exons. Lineage: Eukaryota; Metazoa; Arthropoda; Insecta; Diptera; Tephritidae. The record is from RefSeq and is a predicted model, not a curated record.
GACAAUUUUGAAAAAAUAUAUAUAAUAGUCAAUAUAUUUGUAUAUAUUUAAACGACAAAUUGUGCUGUAAAGUUGAAUCAAAACUAAUAUGAAUACUUGAACAUUGAUUGACUUUCAAUGGAAGUUUAAAAAUUAUUAGAAACCUAACUCAAGAUAUCAACAAAUCAUGUUUUUUUAUAUUUUCAUCCUUAGUAAUGGGGCAUAAUGAACUUCUAUUUGCCUUAUAGUUUAAUAAGUCUAUUUAAAUGUGUGCCAACAUUACGCCAACCAAAAUGGAGAAUUCAAAUUUUCGUCCGUUUCGAAAUUGAAAAAUACAUUUUUCAGAAACACAUUGAAAAUAAACAGUAAUAAUAAUAAUUUGGCACUUAUAACUUUAUUAUAUGAUUAGCCGGUAUUAUACUCUUUCUGUGGUAUGAGCAUUCAUAAAACUAAUGCGUUUUUGUAAGAUGUUUAUCUCGUGUUAAAAAUACCCAAAGCUUUGACUGUCUAGGGUUAGAACUGAUUACUACCAAAAAUUGUUAAAGUUCGUGAUUUUAUUUCGUCACCCAAUUAGUGGAAUGCAGGAACAAAAUAGUUGCAAUGAACAUAGGUGUGAAAUAUGUUUGAAUGAAUUUCGAUAAUUUGUUUAC